CAGACUCCUACGGGAGGCAGCAGUGGGGAAUUUUGGACAAUGGGCGCAAGCCUGAUCCAGCUAUUCCGCGUGUGGGAUGACGGCCCUCGGGUUGUAAACCACUUUAGUGGAGAACGAAAAGGAGCUAUCGAAUAAAUGGCUCUGCUGACGGUACUCUAAGAAUAAGCACCGGCUAACUACGUGCCAGCAGCCGCGGUAAUACGUAGGGUGCGAGCGUUAAUCGGAAUUACUGGGCGCAAAGGGUGUGCAGGCGGCUGAGUAAGACAGAUGUGAAAUCCCCGGGCUUAACCUGGGAACCGCAUAUGUGACUGCUUGGCUAGAGUGCGUCAGAGGGAGGUGGAAUUCCACGUGUAGCAGUGAAAUGCGUAGAUAUGUGGAAGAACACCGAUGGCGAAGGCAGCCUCCUGGGACGCAACUGACGCUCAUACACGAAAGCGUGGGGAGCAAACAGGAUUAGAUACCCUGGUAGUCCACGCCCUAAACGAUGUCAACUAGUUGUUGGGGAUUAAAUUCCUCA
Molecule: ribosomal RNA, 517 nt
Filed under: uncultured bacterium
Lineage: Bacteria
Description: bacterial SSU rRNA
Rfam family: Bacterial small subunit ribosomal RNA
Source: RNAcentral